Long non-coding RNA from Homo sapiens (human), 528 nucleotides. RefSeq lists it as uncharacterized. The transcript is spliced from 3 exons. NCBI's taxonomy places the organism in Eukaryota, Metazoa, Chordata, Mammalia, Primates, Hominidae. The record is from RefSeq and is a predicted model, not a curated record.
UAGAACACGCAUCCCAGUUCUCUCGCUGGAGCAGAAGCUCCUAUUCCACCCACACCAACUCUUUCUUCAUCUGUACGAUGGGAUAAUGUGCCGUUUCCCCUACCUCACUAGAGAUAGAGGAGGGGGAUCCUCUAAUGAGACAGCAGGGAGAAUUAUUUGAAAAACUAAACCAACAUUUAAGGCCAGCUGCUGCUAUUAUUUUACUAGCAGCUUCUUCUUUUGUGCCAACUUAAAGCUACUUAAGCUAAGAGAGCCUAGAAACAAUGACACUCCAGGAACAAUGAUCACUCGCUACUGCCAGAUCUUAGUUUCCAAUCCCACUAUUCAGUGAAAGGAAUCAGGGCUCCUUGGAGAAAUGGCUGAUUCUAGGACUGGAGCAGGAAAUAUAGAAGACAAGCCUAGAACUUCUUAUAGUACCAGAAGGUCUUGAGCCUGCUGGCCCUUUGGAGUAGAACUACACCAUCGUUUCUCCUGAGUCUCCAGCUUCCUCCUUUCCCACCCUGCAGUUUUGGGGACUUUCCAGCCUCU